Long non-coding RNA from Amphimedon queenslandica, 209 nucleotides. RefSeq lists it as uncharacterized. NCBI's taxonomy places the organism in Eukaryota, Metazoa, Porifera, Demospongiae, Haplosclerida, Niphatidae. The transcript is spliced from 3 exons. The record is from RefSeq and is a predicted model, not a curated record.
GGAUUAUUUGAAAGACUAGUUAAGGAAAGAAGAGUGAGACCUACUGCUUUGAUGCCUCUGUGGAACAUAGCUGGAUGCAGGAUGUGUACUGGGUGCUGGUAGUGCAUUAUUAGGUAAAGAGGCAGUAAUGGCUUGUACUGUUGCUGCUGAACAAGCUUAUUACAAUGAUCAGUUAAGGGAGCUGUUGAAUAGAGAAGAAAAAGAUGAAG